UGCAGUCGAACGAAGUAGCAAUACUUAGUGGCAGACGGGUGAGUAACAUGUAGGUAUCUACCCUUUGGCCUGGAAUAACACGAGGAAACUUGUGCUAAUACCGGAUAAGUCUUUACGGAGAAAGCUUUAUGCACCAUUGGAUGAGCCUGCACUUGAUUAGUUUGUUGGUGGGGUAAUGGCCUACCAAGACUGUGAUCAAUAGCUGAUUUGAGAGGAUGAUCAGCCACAUUGGGACUGAGACACGGCCCAAACUCCUACGGGAGGCAGCAGUGGGGAAUCUUGCACAAUGGAGGAAACUCUGAUGCAGCGAUGCCGCGUGAGUGAAGAAGGCCUUUGGGUUGUAAAGCUCUUUCGUCGGGGAAGAAAAUGACUGUACCCGAAUAAGAAGGUCCGGCUAACUUCGUGCCAGCAGCCGCGGUAAUACGAAGGGACCCAGCGUAGUUCGGAAUUACUGGGCUUAAAGAGUUCGUAGGUGGUUGAAAAAGUUAGUGGUGAAAUCCCAGAGCUUAACUCUGGAACUGCCAUUAAAACUUUUCAGCUAGAGUAUGAUAGAGGAAAGCAGAAUUUCUAGUGUAGAGGUGAAAUUCGUAGAUAUUAGAAAGAAUACCAAUUGCGAAGGCAGCUUUCUGGAUCAUUACUGACACUGAGGAACGAAAGCAUGGGUAGCGAAGAGGAUUAGAUACCCUCGUAGUCCAUGCCGUAAACGAUGUGUGUUAGACGUUGGAAAUUUAUUUUCAGUGUCGCAGCGAAAGCGAUAAACACACCGCCUGGGGAGUACGACCGCA
RNAcentral lists this ribosomal RNA (785 nucleotides) under uncultured Alphaproteobacteria bacterium. Its description in RNAcentral is "bacterial SSU rRNA". It matches the Rfam family "Bacterial small subunit ribosomal RNA", at positions 56 to 890 of the family's 1533-position model. Lineage: Bacteria; Pseudomonadati; Pseudomonadota; Alphaproteobacteria. The record is from RNAcentral.